GAUGAACGCUAGCGGCAGGCCUAAUACAUGCAAGUCGAACGAUAUUAUCCAGCUUGCUGGAUAUGAAAGUGGAGCACGGGUGCGUAACGCGUAUGCAACCUACCUUAUUCAGGGGGCUAGCCCGAAGAAAUUCGGAUUAACACCGCAUAAGAUCACAGUUCAGCAUUGGACAAUGAACAAAUAUUUAUAGGAAUAAGAUGGGCAUGCGUGUCAUUAGCUAGUUGGCGGGGUAACGGCCCACCAAGGCGACGAUGACUAGGGGAUCUGAGAGGAUGGCCCCCCACACUGGUACUGAGACACAGACCAGACUCCUACGGGAGGCAGCAGUAAGGAAUAUUGGUCAAUGGAGGGAACUCUGAACCAGCCAUGCCGCGUGCAGGAAGACGGCCCUCUGGGUUGUAAACUGCUUUUAUUCGGGAAUAAACCUAUUUACGUGUAAAUAGCUGAAUGUACCGAAGGAAUAAGGAUCGGCUAACUCCGUGCCAGCCGCCGCGGUAA
RNAcentral lists this ribosomal RNA (498 nucleotides) under uncultured bacterium. RNAcentral describes it as "partial 16S ribosomal RNA". It matches the Rfam family "Bacterial small subunit ribosomal RNA", at positions 28 to 523 of the family's 1533-position model. The record is from RNAcentral.